UUUUUUAAAAUAAAAAAUUUAUUUCCUCCUCCUCCCCCGACGAGUCUGGUUUACCUGUUACCAAAGUUCCUGUGGCCCCCUGUUUCCCUGCUAGUUUUGUGACAUGUGGCAAGCCACUUAACACCACUUAACUCUGUUAACUCUUUUUGCUUCUUUUUACUGUUUGUUUUUUUUGCUUUUUCUCCCUGUUCUGCCCUUUUCUGUCUUUUCUCGUUCCCUCUUCCCUCAUCUCCUUCCUUUUUUGUUCUCUUUUCCAGAUCUCCACCACCACGUUUUUUUUUUUUUUUUUUUUUUGCUUUUGCUUUGUUUUUCUUUUUCUCUCAUCUCUCUCUCAAAAAAAUGGCGGGGAAGAAAGGAACACAUUUGAGAUUCAAUGAUCAGAGUCCAAAUUCCCAAUAAAGAAAUGCUAGUUAACAAUCAAUUGGUACUGGGUAAAAAAAGCACAACUGAUAGUUCACUGUCCAUGUCAAAACACAAUUUGAAAAAGGCUCUUGCAUGUUUAUCGACAGCGAAGACAAAUCUUUGAAGACGAAUGAAGAUUUAACUACGAUCGAAGAUUUGCCUUGUUGAAGACCAGCGAAGAUUUUGGCUUCGCUGUUGAAGGCGAGAGCAGACGAAGAGGGUUUAGGAUUUAGGGUUUAGAGCUGGUGUUUCAGCUCGAGUCCAUGUGUUAUUUUGGGCUGGUAAGGGAAAAAUGACGGAGGGAGGGGGAAAGAAGAGAGAAAGGGGCAUAACAGGCAGAAAAAGCAGAAAAAAAAAAAAAAAAAAAAAAAAAGGCAAAAAGAGUAACACAAAGUUAAGUGGUUUUAAGUGGCUUGCCACAUGUCAUGAAAUUAGUAGGGAAACAGGGGGAACAGGAACUUUAGUAACAAGUAAACCGUACUCUCCCCCGACCCUUCUCUCUUCUCUCUCCCUCUCUCACUCUGUAUUUCUCUCUCCCUCAGUUUAAAUUUUGAUUACAGGGUCCUGCAUGGUUGAUCUUAUUGAGGUUAAGCUUUUUGUGAUCUUAGUAUGAUUAGAUUGAUCAAUGAAAUUUAAAUGCAGAUUAGUUCAUUAAAAAAAAACACUUCCCAUUUUCUUGUUCGUAUGAGGAACCAACGUAAAUCAAGUAAAUAUGUAAUUGCUAAUCGAAUACCACAAAGAAGUUGCAUAUGGAUUUCAAACUGGAAACAAAAUACAGAAGCUUCGCUAUAAUAAUGGAGUCUCCAAUUUCCUUCCACGAUACUAGUAGUAAUUAAUUAUUAAAUUGAAAAAUUAAAUAUCAUUACAAGAAAAGAAAAAGAAAAAUGUAAACUGCAAUACAGCUGAUGAUGAAGAAAAAAUUAAAUGCGGAAUCUGGAAAUCCGAAUGGAAGGGAAGAGUCGGGGAAGAGAAGGAGAGAGAAGAGUCGGGGAAGGAGGAGGAAAGAACAUGUGUGCCAAGUGACUCGAGCACGCAUCGCCCAUUUUGAACUCCCCUAGAGAGAAGAGAAAUAGUUACCACCGUCACGAGACCAAUCAAACUAGAAAGAAGCAUAAAAAACGGUACCCGCUUUUUAUCUUUCUUUUUUGUGGGCCCACCUUAAACACCAGUAAAAUAUAGAAACCAUAUCAAUUCCGUCACUGCAACUUCGAAGCUCAACAUGUCUCUCUCCCUCUCUCUCUGAGAAAGAAAACCCAAAAAAAAUGCUUGAUGGCAACGAAGAGCCCUCGAAGCCCAACAAGGCCGAGAGCCCACCACAGCUCAAGAAAUCCCGGACCGUCAUCACCACCGCCUCUGACGACGCGGGACCCACAAACCCAAUUUUCCCGGGCCCACUCUUUCCCGCCGUCCGACGCAUCUCCACCGCCGUUGCCUCCCGCCAGUGGCCGCCGCCCGAUCGCCGCGCCUCCAAUGCGCCCGCGGACCACCGAGACUUCUCCGACCGCGACUGGGUCUUCCCUUCCUUCGUCGUCCCACAGAACACUUCCAAACGCGGCAAGAAGCUCGCCUCCUCUGAUUCACGUACGACUGCGGCGCAUGGUAAGCUUGUCGACGCGUCACACCGGAUUGCGUCCCAGUCUCCGCCUGCUGCGUCGGUGCCGAAGCCGGAGGCUGAGAGGAAGAAAUUGAAGGUGGUGCCAAGUGGAGCUCCGGCCUCUUCUUCGAGUGAGUUGACUCGGCUGAGUUCGAGGUGGCCUGGGGAACUUAAACGUCAUUUGUUACUAGUUGUGCUUACUUUCACUUGUAUAUUAUCUAUAACUUAUGUAUUUUAUCUGCGGCAGAGAGUUGCACAACUUGAGGAAUGGUGUACCGAAAAAGAUAUCGAUUCAAAUAGCAGCUUUAGUCUUUUUCUGGCUGAGAAGAAUCCCUUUUUUUUCCAUUUUGCUAAUGCUGAAAGAAGAACUGUUGCUUUGUAUGCUGUGGUCAUUAUACUUACUAUGCCAUUUGUAUUGUACAAACAUCUUGAUUAUCUUUCCCAAAUAAGGAAUCUCUCAAAAAGGAUGAAGAGUAACAAAGAGGAGGUUCCCAUAAAGAAGAGGAUUGCAUAUAUGGUGGAUGUGUGUUUCUCUGUCUAUCCAUAUGCGAAACUGCUUGCGCUUCUGUUUGCAACAAUAUUUCUUAUAGGGUUUGGUGGAUUGGCAUUGUAUGCAGUCAAUAAAAAUAGCUUUGCUGAAGCUCUUUGGCUCUCAUGGACUUUUGUUGCUGAUUCUGGAAACCAUGCUGACACAGAAGGCCUUGGGCCAAGGAUAGUUUCUGUCUCUAUAAGUUCAGGAGGCAUGCUAAUAUUUGCAAUGAUGCUUGGGCUUGUUUCUGAUGCUAUAUCAGAGAAGGUUGAUUCACUGCGGAAAGGGAAGAGUGAAGUCAUUGAAAUGAACCACAUCCUAAUUCUUGGAUGGAGUGACAAACUGGGUUCACUUCUAAAGCAGCUAGCAAUAGCAAACAAGAGUGUUGGUGGUGGUGUUGUUGUUAUACUUGCUGAAAGAGACAAGGAGGAAAUGGAGCUGGAUAUAGCAAAGCUUGAAUUUGACUUCAUGGGGACCUCUGUUAUAUGCAGAAGCGGCAGCCCUCUUAUACUGGCUGACCUGAAGAAGGUCUCAGUUUCAAAGGCACGUGCUAUCAUUGUAUUGGCAUCUGAUGAAAAUGCAGAUCAGAGUGAUGCGCGUGCUUUGAGGGUUGUGCUCAGCCUAACUGGGGUGAAAGAGGGUUUGAGGGGUCAUAUUGUUGUAGAGAUGAGUGACCUUGACAAUGAGCCUCUGGUGAAGCUUGUUGGAGGAGAACUCAUAGAAACAGUUGUAGCACAUGAUGUGAUUGGAAGGUUGAUGAUACAGUGUGCUCUGCAGCCUGGUCUUGCACAGAUAUGGGAGGACAUAUUGGGGUUUGAGAAUGCUGAGUUUUACAUCAAAAGGUGGCCUCAAUUGGAUGGUCUUCGUUUUGAAAAUGUGCUUAUUUCAUUUCCUGAUGCUAUUCCCUGUGGAAUUAAGGUUGCUGCAGAUGGUGGGAAGAUAAUUUUAAAUCCAGAUGAUAAUUAUGUUCUGAAAGAAGGGGAUGAGGUUCUUGUUAUAGCAGAAGAUGAUGAUACUUAUUCUCCAUGCUCCUUUCCCAAGGUAUGUGCAGGCUCUUGUCCAAAGACAGUUGAACCUCCCAAAUACCCUGAGAAGAUAUUGUUUUGUGGCUGGCGUCGUGACAUAGAUGAUAUGAUUAUGGUUCUAGAGGCAUUCUUGCCUCCAGGUUCAGAACUUUGGUUGUUCAAUGAAGUUCCUGUAAUAGAAAGAGAUAGGAAACUUACAGAUGGUGGACUGGAUGUUUCUAGAUUGGAGAACAUAAAGCUUGUCCACAAAGAAGGAAAUGCUGUGAUCAAACGGCAUUUAGAGAGUCUUCCUCUGGAGACUUUUGAUUCUAUGAAUCACUAGAGGACUCUGUUGUUCAUUCUGACUCAAGAUCCCUUGCCACUCUUCUCCUUAUACGAGAUAUACAGUCAAAGCGUCUCCCUGACAAAGAUACAAAGACAACUUCUUUACGGUUGUCUGCAUUUUCACACAGCUCUUGGAUCCGUGAAAUGCAGCAAGCUUCAGACAAAUCAA
Molecule: RNA transcript, 4043 nt
Organism: Prunus persica (peach)
Lineage: Eukaryota; Viridiplantae; Streptophyta; Magnoliopsida; Rosales; Rosaceae
Gene name: ion channel DMI1
Exons: 11
Source: RefSeq, a predicted model, not a curated record